AGUGAACGCUGGCGGUAGGCCUAACACAUGCCAGUCGAUCGGCAGCACAGUAAGAGCUUGCUCUUACGGGUGGCGAGUGGCGGACGGGUGAGGAAUACAUCGGAAUCUACUUUUUCGUGGGGGAUAACGUAGGGAAACUUACGCUAAUACCGCAUACGACCUACGGGUGAAAGCAGGGGAUCUUCGGACCUUGCGCGAUUGAAUGAGCCGAUGUCGGAUUAGCUAGUUGGCGGGGUAAAGGCCCACCAAGGCGACGAUCCGUAGCUGGUCUGAGAGGAUGAUCAGCCACACUGGAACUGAGACACGGUCCAGACUCCUACGGGAGGCAGCAGUGGGGAAUAUUGGACAAUGGGCGCAAGCCUGAUCCAGCCAUACCGCGUGGGUGAAGAAGGCCUUCGGGUUGUAAAGCCCUUUUGUUGGGAAAGAAAAGCAGCAGGUUAAUACCCCGCUGUUCUGACGGUACCCAAAGAAUAAGCACCGGCUAACUUCGU
Molecule: ribosomal RNA, 491 nt
Filed under: uncultured bacterium
Lineage: Bacteria
Description: partial 16S ribosomal RNA
Rfam family: Bacterial small subunit ribosomal RNA
Source: RNAcentral